Molecule: long non-coding RNA, 1691 nt
Organism: Xiphophorus couchianus (Monterrey platyfish)
Lineage: Eukaryota; Metazoa; Chordata; Actinopteri; Cyprinodontiformes; Poeciliidae
Exons: 2
Source: RefSeq, a predicted model, not a curated record
CGGUAACAGGUGUGCUUAAACUACAGAGAGAGAGUAAAAAGGCCACAGCCUAUUUGAUUGAUAAAGACUAGUUGAAGUCAAAAGCUGGGACUGGAGAAGCAGCACUGCAUAUCCCGACAACCCUGAGAGCAAACAGGCAUCGGGUUAAUCCAUCUUCAGCAGCAACAGUGGCACACCCGUGGAAAAGUGCGAGACCGUUACGAUUUUCAAUUUUGAUGCAGUUAUUUUUUCAGCAUUGCUCAAUAGUGAAGAUUUUGAUUCACCGCAACAUGAGUGGAGCACUUCAGCAGAAACUCAGCUUUUUUUUUUUUCUUACAUCCCAGCAGAGAGUGCAUUAAUCAUCGCAGUCUCACCCUCCUCAGUGAAGACAGAGAGCAACAGCUGGGAGAGAGGAGCUCGACUUUAAGCAGUACAGACUCCAGGAGGUUCAGCCAUCACUUCUUGUUGUGAAUUCUGACAUCAAUAGUAAUGAAUACCUUGGAGCGUUUCCUGACUGCCUGAGCAUGAAUUGCUAGAACACUGAAAAGGGCUUUUCUUUGUUUGUUUUGUUUUUUGCUUGUGUACCUUUGUGUGCUGGACUUCUGCGCCUUUGUUUGCUUGUGUAACCACGUGCAUCAGCGAGAGCACAUGCAUUUUGUUGGACCAGAUAUGAGUAAUACGCAGAGUAUCACACAGGACUAAAUGACCUGAACUGACAGGAACAAUUAAUCAGAACAUUUGCCGGUGCUCCUGGAUGAGGUUUCAUGCUGAGGUUACACCUGCACAGGCCUCAGUUGCACUGGGAUCGGGAACACAUAUCCAAAAUUAUCUUUAAAUGAUCUAUGGCUGCCUAGAGCAUAUUUAUCUCAAGUGGAGAAAUGUGCGUUUGCAUGGCUUUUAGGGUUUUGUUAUAAAACACAUAUUGUCUCUGGGGAAACCUGCUAAAAUUCCCUUCAUUUAUUUGUGUAAAUUGCCAUAGCUAUCUCCAUAACAAAAUGUGUGCUUUGCUGUGUGUAAUUUUCUGAUAAGACAGGAAAUUAAUGAAAAGAAACUUAGGUUAAUUUCAUUAAUAACCUGCCAUAACUGAUUUGUACCACUAGGAGGCAGAUGAAACAAGCUAAAAAAGAUACUCAGACAUCUUGAAGGCAACAACUUUAAAAUCUAAAAUAUUGCUUCUUAUUUUUAUGUUUUUCCUGUAAAUUGAUAAAAAUGGAUUUGAGCUGACAUGAUAGCAACCAGCUGUAUAAAAUAUAACUAAAUAAACUCAACAGAUCUUCUCUAUGAAGUCUGAGACCGAAUUUGUAGAAAGAUAGCUUAAAAGAAUAAUCAAUUAUUAACCAACUACAUGGUUAGCAAACUUUAAAAAAGAAAACUUCAACUAAUUUAUGAAUUUGAAGUUAAUCUAAUACUUUCCAUCCUUUUCUUGGCAGUUGUCCAUUAAGCAACUUCUUCUCUACAAUUGUCUGCUCCCAUGCUGCUCUGAGAAUUUAGUUGUCACUAGUCAAAGCAAAUCUAAUUAAUCCUAGAGUCGAAGCCUCAGUCCUCUCAGAUCUGCUGCUCUUUUUUCCAAUUUUCCUUCAGCACUGAAGCCACCUAGUCAGAGGAAAAGCCUCACUUUUUCUACACUUACACACAAAGACAGGAGCUCUUUACUCGCAGUUCUAUGUAGGACAAGUAACCAGCUGUCUUUGGUAAUAAAUGAGUAAGAUGAA